Molecule: ribosomal RNA, 254 nt
Filed under: uncultured bacterium
Lineage: Bacteria
Description: partial 16S ribosomal RNA
Rfam family: Bacterial small subunit ribosomal RNA
Source: RNAcentral
UACGUAGGCAGCAAGCGUUGUUCGGAAUUACUGGGCGUAAAGAGUGUGUAGGCGGUGCUCCAAGUCUGGUGUGAAAUCUCCCGGCUUAACUGGGAGGGUGCAUUAGAAACUGGAAUGCUAGAGGAUGGGAGAGGUAAGCGGAAUUCCUGGUGUAGCGGUGAAAUGCGUAGAUAUCAGGAGGAACACCUGUGGUGUAGACAGCUUACUGGACCAUUUCUGACGCUGAGACACGAAAGGCGUGGGUAGCAAAUAGG